Molecule: ribosomal RNA, 425 nt
Filed under: uncultured bacterium
Lineage: Bacteria
Description: bacterial SSU rRNA
Rfam family: Bacterial small subunit ribosomal RNA
Source: RNAcentral
GUGGGGAAUCUUGCACAAUGGGGGAAACCCUGAUGCAGCGACGCCGCGUGAACGAUGAAGCCCUUCGGGGUGUAAAGUUCUUUCGGCAGGGACGAUAAUGACGGUACCUGCAGAAGCAGCUGCGGCUAACUACGUGCCAGCAGCCGCGGUAAUACGUAGGCAGCAAGCGUUGUUCGGAAUUACUGGGCGUAAAGAGUGCGUAGGCGGUUGGCUAAGUUUGGUGUGAAAUCUCCUGGCUCAACUGGGAGGGUGCGCCGAAAACUGGCUGGCUAGAGUGCGGGAGAGGAUAGUGGAAUUCCUGGUGUAGCGGUGAAAUGCGUAGAUAUCAGGAGGAACACCUGAGGUGUAGACGGCUAUCUGGACCGUAACUGACGCUGAGGCACGAAAGCGUGGGGAGCAAACAGGAUUAGAUACCCUUGUAGUCC